RNAcentral lists this long non-coding RNA (926 nucleotides) under Gallus gallus (chicken). Lineage: Eukaryota; Metazoa; Chordata; Aves; Galliformes; Phasianidae. The record is from RNAcentral.
GGCAAACCACGUGCCUUUUCUUUCUUUUCUAAACUCAGGUUUGCUCCCUGGCUGCCUUAUCCUGCCACAAGUAAUUCUUGGUCUAUGCCUUUAUUUGCAUAUCAUGCUGGGACUGACUGAGAGGUCUCCUAAGGAACGCACAUUUUCCUUAGAUAUCUAUGAGGAGAAUUUGAUGACCACGACCUUAUCCUUUUCUGCUGCUUCUCUGUUGCUGCCCAUGCACAUCCCCUGAUGCACAGCAUGUAUCCCUUCAUCUUGAUCAUCACUGGAAAAGGCGAGAGUGUACAAAGUUAAACAGCAAAAAUAUAGCUGACGCUUGUCUUCUUUCUCUCUCCACAAACACAGACACGAAUUCUCUCUAGUUUCUCCAGGGGGUGAUAACAGCAAGGCUCCUUCCCUCUGGAAACAUAUACAAUUUUGCUGGAGUAAUAAAAACACCAAAGAGGAGAACCGGCAGCAGACACAGGACUGGUUUGAUUUUAUUUUCUCACCUCUGUGGAGAGCGAAGCAGUAAAAUCUUUCAAGAGGCCUGCGUCUGGGUAUCCCGCUGCUGCCUUCAGCCCCAUCUCCUGAGCAGUAGGAGUGGUGGCUUCGCAGCCUUUUCAAGUUAUUCAGAAUCAGUUUCCAGUGUGCAAAUGUUAUCUAGAAGCAUGAAGACAGCUCUGGGAAAAGAAACAGCUUUGCAUCAACAUGAGACACAGCUCAUAUUCUCUUUUACAUGAGGAUGUAACUAGCUCUGUUUUACCUGACGUGAAUGUAAAUUGAUUUUCCUCCUCGUUCCCAUGAUGAAUUAUCUUCCUCAAGCUGUGCUACUGAGUGGUCAGAAAACACAGAAAGAAUGUGUCAGGAGCUUGAAGAAGAAGCAAAACAAUGGCAAUGUGAACAGAACAUGUGGAAAAAUCAGAACACAAGAAGGAGAAAAGGAG